Monodelphis domestica (gray short-tailed opossum) is the source of this 18068-nucleotide long non-coding RNA. RefSeq lists it as uncharacterized. The record is from RefSeq and is a predicted model, not a curated record. Lineage: Eukaryota; Metazoa; Chordata; Mammalia; Didelphimorphia; Didelphidae.
AUGAUAUAUUUAGGGAUAAUGUACUGUCAUGGAGAGUAAGCCCAUGCUUGGAGAGAUGGAGAAAUACCAGAGAGCUAAACCUGGACAGAGAUGAGACUGGGGAAAGAGUUGGGAACACAGAGUAUCUUUCCUCUUGGGGAGGGAAGUGUGAUGCCCAUUCAUAUGCACAGUCCUCCCACAGAGAACUUCUAGACCCAAUGGAGAGCAGCUUUGGAGAAACAGUAACAGAGACAAUGGAAUUCCUAGGGGAGAGAUUAGAUUAGAGAUUAGAACUUUUUUAUAACAGCCAGCCUUCUGGAGAGAAGAAGGGUUCGUUCCUGGACUCAGGCUCCUAGCUGGAUAUGAACUUCUAAGUGACUUCUGGAACCAAACCUUAUGGAGAGAAGAGAGAUGAGCAUAUGGCCCCAAAGUAAAGGAGUAGCAAAGAACUGAGCCACCAUGUGAGAAAGGGAGCUUUAUCCUCAUCCUUCAUUACUAUGGGGCCCAUACCAAAACUGUAUUCUGCUGUUCCCUGGGGAUAUUCUGGUUGGAGGCAAGAUCCAAAGAGUCAUUUGUGGGAAGCUCUGGAAUACUGAAGCAGCAUAAAAACAACAGUGAGAGUGGACUAUAUUCUUUGGAUUCCUCUGGACAGAACCCUUAGAAAUGUGUGAAAAAGAAACCUCUGUUUGAAGUUAUUGUUCUAUGUUUCGGGGGAAAGAAGUGAAAAGGAAUAUGAGGGGAUUGUACCAGUCCACAGACACAUGUGUCUCAACAUUACCAUUGUUCAUCUCCAGCAACAUCAUCAUCAGCUAAAACAAUACUACUUCAAUAAGAGAAGAGAGCCUAGAGUCAACCAUAGUCAGGGGACAUUGUAUAGAAGGUGAGUCAGGAAUGAUAAAGGUCAACAACAGAUAGCUAAAUAUUGCUCAGUUUUUAAAAUGUAACUGAAACUGGCUUAUCUUUAUAUGGAGCCUAUGAAAUAGAGAAGAUCCAUGACUGGAAACAAAAGGCCCUUUAGGGUAGGGUAGCACCCUAAUUUAUUGGAACAAUAUAUCAAAAAGUAGCUAACUAUGUGUGUUGUUUGCAGACACUGUGUUGAUAAUUUUAGAUCUGAUCAUUGCCAUUGUAAAUUCUAGAAAACAAGAGUCAAAAAUAUGGCCAAUAUCAGUUAUGUAGUGAUAUGUUAUAAAUUGUGUAACACAUCACCUGAUUACAAAAAUUGAGCUGAAUAUCUAGCUGAAUCAACUUAGUAGCCAGAUCUAUACCCUGGACAUUUUUUAUCUUUCAUAAACUAAUAGACAACUAAUCUCGUAGCAAACACAUGGUCCACAAAAUGUCCUUAAAAAGACAGUAAAUAAACUAUCUGCUUAAUGGAAUAUAAAGUCUGAGAGGUAAUAAGUCCCAUAUUAUUCAUAGCAAGAAAUGUGAUGAAUGAAAUAAUAAUUUAGAGUCUGUAGAGCCAGAGCAUUAUUUCAAGCAAAAUUGUUACCCACAAUUCCAUGAACUUUAUAUCAAUCUAGGCAACAUGAUUGAGAAAAACAGAUGGAUAGAAUGUCAGUCCUGCAGUGAGGAAGACCUGAGUUCAAAUCCAGCCUCAGAUUUUUAUUUUAUUAUUGCUCAGGCAUACACAGCCUCACUAGCUGUGUAUGCCUGAGCAAGUCACUUCAUCCUAUUUAUCUCAGUUUCUUCUUCUGUCAAACAAGCUAGAGAAGGAAAUGACAAACCACUCUAGCACCUCUACCAAAAAUCUUCCAAAUGGGGUCAUGAAGAGUCAGACAUUCUGAAAUAACUAAACAAGAGCAUUAUUAAUCUAUAUGAGUUUACGAAUGAUAUUUAAAGAUGUCAUGAUAUUAAAUAACCAUCAUUUGUAAACUAUGUGAUUGGAAAGGUUUCAAAUAUAGAGAUGCAGAAGGAAUCAAAACCAACCGAGGACAACAUUUUGGUAGUAGGAAUAUAUACUCAGAGUCAUGAACUGGGCAAGUAGUUUUCUUUGAAAAGUAUGGAAACUUUUUUAAAGACUCAAUUGACUCAGAUAUUUAAAGACUGACAUGAUGUAUCUUCCUUGGGCUUUAGAUACAAAAGUCAGGUCACAAAUAGUCUCCUGGUCUUUGACCAACAGACCUGUAGCAUGACUAAUACAGGAAAUCUCUGCUUCACUGAAUCAAGGCAAUACUCUUUUACUGCUGGAAAUGCCUUUUCCUUUCUAUGGCUAAGUAAAUUUCCAUUUGUAAACUGUUAUAUGGACUAUCCAUGUUUCAUUUCAUUCUAAUUUAUAACUCACAACCAGUAUGAUCUAAAACAAAGUUGAAAUAAACAAUAUCCUGUUAUCUUGUUGCCAUUAGAAUUACUGCAAAUAUGGUUGGACAGCAUAAAGAAAGGUUGGUUUUCAUCGUGAUACUUUUGUUGUUGCCUUGUAUGGUGUAGCCUUCUAAAUCUUUCUCUUCCUAUUGUUUUAGUGGACUACCCUACUUAGAUCCACACUGGCAGGUCUCAUUUGAUCUACCAAUAAUGUUAUGAAGUAGGUUUUAUUAUUGUUCAGUCAUUUUCAGACAUGUCUGUCUCUUCGCGAGCUCUUUAGAGAUUUUCUUGGCAAAGAUGAUAGAGGGGUCUUCCUUUUCCUGCUCCAGCUCAUUUUUCUGAUCUGGAAACUGAGGCAAACAAAGUUAAGUGCCUUCUCUGGGGCUAUAAAGUUAGUAAGUGUGUGAGGCUGGAUUUAAACACAGGUCUUCCUAACUCCAGGACUGACUUUCUAUCCAUUGUGCCACCAAGCUGCCCAUAGGUUUUAUUAUAUCUAUAUUUAAUAUUUGAAAGCAAGUCAUAGGCAGGUGAAGUGGCUAAUUGAGGGUCAUAAAUCGAACAUGUUUAUUGCAUGAGAUUUGAGAUUUCAUGUCAAAAAUUCUAACUACAGCAGCACUUGAAUAAAAUGUAUAGAAAACAUGCCUGCUCAGUUUCUAUCUCUAAGGGGAGAUAGACAAGGGAUCAUAGGAAUUAUGAGGCCUAAAUUGGAAGAAAUCUUUGAGACCAAGAAGUCUGAUACCCUUCAUUUACAGAUGACGGGUUUGAAUCUCAGAAAAAAUUAUGUAACUUGCUCAAAUUCACACAGGUAGUAGGCAAAGUAGUUAUGCCAAUCUUUGAAGCUAGAUUCUUUGAUUCCUUAUCUUUUGUCUUUGAGGGAGUAGAGGAUGGCACAGUGGGCCAGUAGCAGAGAGAGAAGUUAAGGAGAGAAGAAUGAGGGGAGAAAAAAAUAAGAACAAUGAAGCAGAAUGAAUCACAUUUCAACCAAUUGGUUCAACAGGUAUUGCCAUUAUGUUUCCGAUAUCCUGUAUCUGCAUCUUAAUUAUUUUACCCUUACUGAGUCUGUCCUUUCUCUGGGAUUCUAUAGAAUUAAAAUAAAAUCAAGCAGACUGACCAUCAAGUCUGUCUAAUACUAUAAACUCCCAAGUCAUUCCAUUUAUGUUAGUUCUAUUUCUUUGUCUCUAAGCUACACAGUAUUGGGUAGAGAAAUAGCCCUGAGUACCUUAUUAUUGACUGGUAGUCCUAGAAAGAACAUAGAAUUAAUCUUGUCUAACUCUUUCAUUUAACAGAAAAGGAGAUUGAGGUAUAUGGAGGGAAAGUGAAAAGUAGAUAUGGGUUGAUUUUUAGUCCUAAUAAUUCUCCAAGAGUUUUCUCUAGUGGUAUUAGACACACAGAGAUGAAAAUCUGACAGCUCAAAAGGAAUGUCAAAAAAACAAUUUAAAAGAUUGUUGUAAAAAAUCCAGGAUGAUUAUAUAUAAACUGUAUUCUGCUCCCCAGACUUUGGCCACAUCAUUUCAAAGAGGAAGAGGGAGGAAGAGAAGUUAUAGAAACCAAAAGCAUCAGCAAGCUUGAAAGGUCCUACCUAGUAGCCCAAAGAGUAUAUGAUCAAUGCCAUAUAGGGACAUGAUUCUUUAUAAUGAAUCAUAUAAUGAUAGUUUUUCAAGGACCGUUACAAUAUAGAAUGAUUGAACAUAGAACAUAAAAUGUUCUAUAGCUAAGCAAAUAAUUUACUAGAUUUGGAGCCAUGAAGAAUUGAGUUAAAGUUCUGCCUCAGACAUUUGUUAGCUAUAUGACCUGGGCAAAUCAUUAAACCUCUCUCUACCUCAGUUUCCUCAUCUAUAUAAUGGACAUAAUAGCAUCCCCCACCCAGGAUUGUUGAUCAUAUGUGAUAAUAUUUGUAAAGUGCUUAGCAUGGUGCUUGGCACAUAGUAAGUGCUUAUAUAAAUGUUGAUGAUGAUGCUGGUGAUAGUGGUAAUGGUGGUGAUUAUGAUAAAAUGAAAGAAUUAUUUGUAAAGUACUCAGUAAAUCUUAAAGAAUUCUACAAAGGCUAGCUAUUUUGAUAACAAAUGGAAGGGGAUUGGUGGUCAACCCAGGAUAGAUAUUUAAUAGAUGGUUGUUGAUUUCUUAAAUUGAAUACCCUCCCAUUUUUCAGAUGAUAAAAUUAAACCCUAAAGAGUAGAUAUGACUGGCCCAAAAUCAUAUAGUAACACAGAGCUGUUUGUUUCCAGUCCAGUGGCAAAUCAGAGACUUUGCUAGGGGAGGAAGGAAUGAUACAGUAUCUCAUUUUUUAAAAACUUUUUACCUUCCAUCUGUAUUGUUUCUAAGGCAGAAGAAUGGAAAGGGCUGGUCAAUAGGAGUUUAGUGACUUGUACAGGGUCCCAUGGCAAGGAAGUGGCUGAGGACAGAAUUGAAACCAGGAUCUCCCAUUUCUAGGCCUGGUUCUAUCCAUUUAGCCACCUGGCCAUCCCUUUGUGCUGUCUUAUUUUGAAGAUAAAGCUACAACCCUUCCAACCAAGCUAUCUUCAUUUUCUCUGAGCGCAGCGUCCCGUUCUCUGCUCUCUCAACACCUCACUAUAUGACAGGAUCAUUUUUGCCAACAUUUUCGAACAAAACUCAACAUGACUCCAACUCCCUCCCUCCAAAAGCAGCCGCAGUCAAAACCUUUAUAUUUUGGUGCCUCUGUGACAAGUGUUACUCCUCUUUUCCAUAGAUCAAACCAGCCCCUGACAGAUACAGCUGAUGAUAUUUUUACUCACAGAUGAAAUCUUACCUCCAUGUGUAUAUUUGACUUGAAGAAAUUCACAUUUCUAGCAAGAGAUAUAGGCUUAAAAAAAAAUCCAAGCAAAGAUUUUGGAAAGCACCAAUACAUUCAGCUAAUUAUAGAACAUGCAGCACUCCAAGUUCCAUGAGAAUAGGUACUACUUGGACAAUAUUUUAUUCUAUAGAAAGAAAAAGUAGAUGGCUGUCAAUGGUCAACCCCUAAGAUUCUUUAACUCCCCUAAACUUACUUGAGUCCCUCAAACCAUGAACAUUUCUUUCCAAGACAAUAAACAAUGCCAACAGAAAAUGGAAAGUAUAAUAACAACAAAAUUAAAUAUAGUAUAAUUAUGGCAUGAAAAAGAGAUGAAAAAUACAUCUCUCCUCAUUUUUUAUAGAGGAAGGGGACUAUAGGCAUGAAAAAUUACAGUCAAAUUUAAUAGGUGUAUUCUUUAGUUUUAUAAAACUACUAUCCCUCCUCUCUAUUUUGUGAGUUACUGAAAAAUAAUUUUCACUAAACUGGAAUGAGGAGGGAUUUGGAAAUUAAGGUAUUAUAAAAUUUUGUCAACAUAUCAACUCAACCUUAAAAACUUUAAAUAAAUGAAAAGAUCUACUUUUAACUACUGUAGCCAUUCUGUUCACAACAUUUAGAAUGGUUAAUCCUAGUAGGGGACUUACACAAAUACAGGAUUUUUGUUUGUUUGUUUGUUGCUCCUAGUGCUUAAAAGACUCUAUAGAUAUGUCUAUUUAUUCAUCAUAAUCAAUAGAAUAAAAAGAAAGAAGAAAGCUAUAUAUUUAGGUGUGACUUAUAAACUUGGUCUUAUGUACCUUGAGAUCUCUCUCUGUGUCUAAUUUCUUCCCCAUAAAAUAAGAGUGUUGGUGUAUAUGCUCUCAAUGUCCCUUCCAAGUCCAAUACUCCAAUGAAGAGUUAUCCCAACACGGAUGUUAUCUCAGGGGAGGAGAAAUAUGCCAUUUUACUGGUGGUUUCUAAAUGGAGUCUCAAUGACCACAUGUUAGAUAGAGUGCUUUAGGUGAAAAUUCCUGUGUUUAUACACCUAUUGUGGGAUGAUCUCUGAGUCUCUUUCAACUCUAAGAUUCUGUGAUUUGGUAUAAUUCUACGACCUAACAUUCUGUAUUCUAAAAUCACUUGUUAUUUUGAUUGCCUAUGUUCUGUGAUUCUAAAGAUCCAAUAUUGCUUCAGAGACACUCAGAAGUCCCCUAAGACUAGAGAAUGUCAGUGCCAGUGCGAGGCAGUAGAAAUGGCAUCUAGUCAGUUGCUUCAUUUUACAGAUGAGCCUUGGAUCUCAUCUUCACCUCCUUAUUUCACAAUGAGCAGGUGGGAUAAGGGAGCCAGUAGCCUAGGGAGAAAAGUAGACAGAGCCAGUGGCUUCCCUCUAGCAAUUGGAGGCCUCAUUAGAGCUGUUAAGUCACUGAAGAAUGAGACAACAGCAUCUUCUUCAAGGAAAAGUCCUAUUUCUCAUAGAGGAUCUGGGAUCCAGGAAGCAGCCUGAGGCCAGACUCCCAUUAAUCUGAACUCACUGCCCCCAAGGAACAUGCUUAAUUUAUGACUCUGAAGUUAGCCACCAUCCCAGAUAUAUUUCCUUGAUGAUUAAACAUUAAACACACAAGUAUUUCAAAGCAUCCAGAAUAGCUCAGAACUAAUGAAGGACUAAUUGCUGUGCUCUAUGUAUUCAAAUACUGAUGUUACCAAAAAAAUAAAAAAACCCUCACAUUCUUAUGUCAACUGUUGCAUCAAUUAAUUGCAAAUUUUCCAACAGUUAGCUGUAGUGUGAUUAAAGCAUAUGAAAAUAAUCUUGUAAUUAGCUUUCAUUUUGAGACAAAUAGACAAUUAAAGCAAAGAAGUAAGUGUGAAAAUUCAGUUGGUCUGCUUUUGGGGGAGGCUUGUAAAAAUAAUUACUGCAUCAUUCGAUAUUAUUUCCUUGGCUAUUUACUAGUUCUUACACUGUUUCUUUCCUUGUUGACACGAUCAAUAUGAAAGCACUACUAUAAACAGAAAGCUCUACAUGGUUGUAAAAUAUUAUUUAUUACUAUUAUUAUUAUUAUCAUUCUUUCUCCACUCAAGUCUUCUUCUUGCUUUGUUAUUUGAUAGGGCUACUAAAUUGGUAGAUUAGAAAAUGCUGUAAUUAUAACAAAAAUUGAUUUUAGCAAAGGGUUUGAGAAGAUAUUUCAUGUUAUAGAGAAGAUGGAAUGAUAUGGAUUAAUCAAGAAUUAGGAUUUAGAUUUGAUUGGAUGGCCAGAUUCAAAGAGCAAUAAUUAAUGGUUCAAUGUCAACAUGGCAAGUAUUCCAGUGGCAUGCCCCCAGGCAUCUGAGUUUGGCCCUGUGUUCUUCAAUGUUUUUAUCAAUGACUUGAAUAAAGGCAGAGAUGGCAGGCUCAUCAAAUUUGCAGAUGACACAAAGCUGAGAGGGAUAGCUAACACAAUGGAUUACAGAAUCAAGAACCAAAAUGAUUUUGAUGGGCUACAGCUUUGGGCUGAAUCUAAUUAGAUGAAAUAAAGAGUUCAUUAGAUAUAAAAGCUUAUGCUUUUGUUCAAAAUUUAACUUCCUAAGUACAAAAUGGGAGCUCUAUGUUUAGAAAGCAGUUUGCCUGGAAAAAGAUCUAGGAGUUUUGAGUGCCUAAAAGCACAAUAUAAGUCAAUAGUGUUAUGUGAUCAUCCCCCCCCCCAAAAAAAUAUAUAUACUAACAUAGCCUUGGGCCAAAUUAAUGGUGAUAUAAAUUCUAGGCAUAAAGAAGUGUUAACCUCUCUGUACUCUGCCUUUGUCAACCUCAUUUAGAGUAUUGUGGUCAAUACAAUGUGCCCUUGAUAUUUUGUGAUUCCAUUCAUAUAUAUAUAUAUAUAUAUAUAUGUAUAAAUGCAUAUAUAUAAUCACAGGUAAUUUACCUGAUAUAUAAACCCACUCAGGCAUACAAAAUUCUAUAUUUUAAAUCAGAAAGUUCUUUCAAAACUGCAAUAUAAUUUACAGUCAAUUUCAAAAACAAAUUUGCUCUAAUGAAAAAUGUUCAGUGUGAAAGCAAUGCUUUUAGAAGAGUUAUAUUUCCCUAAUGGACAACAUGCAGAAGGAAACAUCAAAAUAUGUACAAAUUCUGAGAACACAGCACACGUACAGAACUUAAAUAUCACCAUUUGUUUUCCAAUGAAAUUAGCUAGACAUUACCCAGUGUAAUAAAAUUUCCUUGAUUAUUUUUCAACAUGGCACCAACUUUGUAAUGCUUUGGUCCUCCCCGCUGCCAUGCACCUGAUUAUACUGGCUGCCACAUUUCACAAAAGAACAUCUGCUCUGUCUUCAUGUAGAACCUACAGAUCCACAAACUUGUUAGGCACAAAAAUGUGUAUUCAUGACUCUGUCAUCCCAUCUCCAACCAGGUCUCCAAACAUCGAAGCAAUCCUGUGAACAUGGCCUUCCAGCUGAACAGCUCAGUAUGUAACUCAUGAAACAGUUUCACAAUUCCUAUCUCAUUGUUAUGGGACUCAUAUAAUAGUCAGAGCAAAUGUUAGGAUCUCUCGAAAUAAGAAAGAACAUUGCAGUCAUUAAGUGUUGUAUAGAAUCGUAGACCUGGAAAAGACCUUCAAAUACAGUCAGUCUUGGGAGAGGCCAUAAAACUGGGCAUUCAGAUAUAGAAAAAAGAAUUGAAGAGUUGGAAGAGAGAUUUAAAAAGUUUUACUCUUAUAUAUUACAAAUGAGGGGACCAAAACUUCCUAAUUUAAGAGGGUUUUCUGGAGAUGAAUCUUCAUGAAGAAGACAUUAAUCAAUCAAGGUUAUAUAACUAGGGAAUGACCAAGGCUGAACUAAGUUUGAAUACAACUUCAGCCAAGGCCAGUAGACUUCAUACCACAGCCCAUUGUCUCCCUUUAACUGCUAACUCUCCCUGACCACUUGGAUCACAAUCAAGAGUCAACUUCCUGCUAACCUAGAGAGAAGGAAGAGUUUAUUCAAUAACAUAACUCAAGAAUUACCAAGGACAAUGAUCUUGUGAAUUUUUAGUUGAAGUCAUGUUUAACUUAACAAAGUAUAGUAGAAAAUGGGUCAUGAGUAUGGAAGAUAUUGGUAAAAUGAAGGUGCUAGCACUCCCAAUAAUGGAAUUUUGUAUUCCAAUGUCCAUUUCACCCUUCCAGUGCUGUCUUCUAUACUUAAAAUGGAGACAAGUAGAUGAUACAGUAGAUAAAGUCCUGGGUCUAGAGUCAGGAAGAUAUCUUCUUGUGUUCAAAUCUGACCUCAGACAUGAAUUAUCUGUGUGCCCCUGGGUAAGUCACUUCACUAUGUUUGCCUCAGUUUCCUCAUCUGUAAAUGAGCUGGAGAAGGAAAUGGCAAACCAUUCCAGUAUCUUUGCAGAGAAAACCUUGAACUCAGUUAUGACUGAAACAACUGAACAACGAUAACAGCAAAGCAUUAUAACAUUCUAUACAGUGAGUUCACUUCCAGUUCUAAUACCCCAUGACUCAAAUCAAUAUGUACUUUCUGAUUCUCCUAAAAUUCUAAGCAGAAUAAACCCAAUGGGUAUUAAUACUCAAUUAGUCAUCCAUCAAGAAGCAUUUAUUAAGUAUGUACAAUGUUGUUUUAAAAGUAUAAAUACAAAGAGCAAUAAGACAAAGAGCCUUCCUCUAUGGAAUUUAUAACCGAGUAAGAAGAGAUAUAAAAACAUUAUAAUGCCAAGAAAAAUUUGGAAAUGAAUGAGGACAAAUCAAAUUUCAUGGAGCAUCAAAGGAUGAAGAGAACACUUCUUCCUUUAGUAGAGGGGGAGAGAGUAUCAUGGAAAACUUCCUAAUGAGGCAGGUAGUAAAGCAAGGUGGGCUUUAAUGAAUGGGUAGAAUUUAGACCAGUAGAUGCACAUAGGAAAAAGGACUUGAAAUCCAAAUCUAAGCAGAGGUUAUAGCCUGAACAAAGGCUCAAAAGCAAAAGAAAAAUGAAUGUGUCUGGGGGAUGAAAAUACAUCUGCUCUGAUUAGAGCAUGGAGUAUAUUAAGGGAAGUAAUGGGAAAUAUUUUGGAAGUAAAAUCAACAUUCCUAAAGAUGUGACCACUUAUCAAUGAUAAAUGGGAGGGUGAAGGAAAAGUCUAAAUUAACUGUAGGAUUUUGAACUACAAACACUGAAAAGAUGGAAAGUAUAUGUUAUUGUAAGAAAUGGGGAGCCAAGAGGAAGGCCAAGUUUAGGAUGAUUAUGAACGUAAUUUUCUAAUUCUUGGCACACUUUCCUCAGAUUUAUGUAUAUUCACUUCAUUAUUGUGCAUCUCUUUUAAUCCAAUAUAAGGCUUGAAAAUUCAACUUCACUUUUUAUCUUCAAAUGCCAAGAGAGAAGAAGAGAAUUACAUAUAAAUGAAGCCAAAUAAUGAAAUAAGUCCACUGGAAUAUAAACAUCUUAGUUGGCCCUGAAUUUUAGAUCAAACAUUAAGACACUGUUUUAUUAAAAAUUGGAUUUGUCUCUCCCCAGAAAGCCAUCUUCCUGCAUCCAGAAACAGCAUAUUGGAUUGAUGGAUUUUUGUCAAGAGAUAACAAGUUCCAGUUUUCUAAUAAGCAUUUGUCUCUAUGGCAUUCAAUUCAGGAAGACAAGCUAAUGUUCAGCUCUCCUCAGCAGUGAUCUGUUUGAUUCUUCCUGACUUUGAAGGAGUGUCUUAACCCAGUCUCAUGUCACCCCAGGGGUCACUACUAUAGACCUUUUGCUGACACCAGUCAGAAGGAUCUUCUUGCAAUCUAGUUUAUUUUAAUGUGUGAGUUAUAGAUCAGCAAGGACCAAUAAGCUUUGCAUGCUCUAGUACUUCCAAAAGUGGAAAGAUGGUGUGGACACUCUAUUUACCAGUAUUGACCCCUAACCUCUCAAUCCCCCCACACACACAUAUAUCCAUCUCAUCAGACAGAUUUAAUGAAUACCCUACCUCAGUAAAUACCUAAAUGAAUCUAUGCCCUUAUAAAUGUGAUUUUUUCCCUUCCAAUGAUGUAGAUCUCAGCCCAUUCUGAUCUCUGCCCAUCCUGGAUGCACCUUGUCUAUGCUGUCCUAUAAGUUCAGCCCAGAGUGUUGACCAAAUAUGGUAGCAUGCCUGUCUUACUUUCUUCUGAUAUUAUACAGUUACUUCUUAUUAAGUCAUUUUUUUUCUGUCAUGUCUGACUCGUUGUGACCCUAUUCAGCAUUUUCUGGACAAAGACAUUGGAGCGGCUUGCCAUCUCUUUCUCCAGCACAAUUUUCAAAUGAAUAACUGAGGCAAUAGGAUCAAGUGACUUGCUCAGAGUCACACAACUAAUAAGUGUACAAGGCUGGAUUUGAACUUAGGAAGAUGAGUUCCUCCUAAUUUCAAAUCUAUAUUUCUAUCCACUGGAUCACCUAACUGCCAAGUUCAGAUGCCAGUGGGACAUAAAUACUGUUCACUUGUUAUUUCUUAUGUGACUAGCCCUUCUUUUUUCCAUGGAUAUAUUUCCUUUUCAUACAAACUCAGUUGACAGUCUUUAUGGAUUAGCAUGGUCAAAACAAUAUAGUCUUUGGGGAUGAGCUUUCCGGUGCUAAGAAAGUCUGGAUCUCUGACAACAGACACACAUUUAACCACUGGUCCUGAACUGAAAAUAUUUCUAGUUUAGUAGGAAUGCCAGGCCUUUUCUUCACUGGAAAAGCUUUGAGGCCACUGGGAAGUUGGAAGCUGAUGAUGGAAGAAAAAUCUAAAAGUACUCCUAUGGGAAACAGGAAGAGUUGGGACUCUGAGAUGGGAUGGAAUCAAUCAUGUACUGUCUUCCAUUCAGGCACUGUAAACAAUGCAGCCCUAGAGCUCAGCACCUGAGAAAACAAAGUUAAUUCACCUGACAGCUAUCAUCCUUGUGUCUUGGCCUUUGUCAUCACAAUAAAACAAAUGCAGCCAGCAGCUACCCUUAUAAGUUUAACCUCCUUGAGAUUGACAGAGUAGAGAAAAGGUCAAUGUCAAUCGAGGAAUGUCUGAAUUAGAAUUCUUAUGUAAUAAAAUAAAAGAGUAAACACACCCCAUUUAUGUCAUAGUAUAUGACUAACCAAUGCAAAUCAGGAUAGAUGGCUAAGUAGAGGUUCUUGGAAUUAUCUAAAGGAUUAAAUAAGAGAAAUGCAAAAUGAAUUGAUUUAAAAAAAACAUUGAUUAAGCCUGGGGAUACACAUAGAGAAAUUAAAUAAUUCUUGCUCUCAAGAAGUUCUCCUUUUAUUGGAAGAAAGGGAAUAUGCAGGGGUUUCAGCUGCAAUGUAGAUGGAAAGGUCCUACAGACAGUCCUUACAGUGUAGCAGAAAAGCAAAUUGUAAUAUAGUUUUUGCAGUCAUAUCUAUUCAUGAAACCUUCUCUGCUUCUGAUAUUGAAAAUUUUGCAAAGGAUUUUGAUAGUAAAACUUUGUUUUCUUCCAGAUUUUCAGUAGCUGUGGAUGCUGAAGGGAUGGGGGGAACAUGUAGUGCCUGUAGAGUAAUCUGUAGGCUGUGGCAAUUCAUCAAUGAACAUUUAUUAAGUACCUACUACGUGCCAGGCACAGUGCUAAGUGGGAGGGAGACAAAAACAGUCAAAAGAUAGUCCUUACCCUCAAGGACCUUAAAUCCAGUGGAGGAAGCAAAUAUAUACAAAGUAAGCUAAAUGAAUAAUAGCAAAUAUUUAACAGGGGGAAAGGCACUAGAAAUAAGAGGGAUUGGGAAAGGCUUUUUGUAGAACAUGAGAUUUGACUUGAGACUUAAUGGGAGCCAGAGAGGUCAGGAUAUAUCAGAAAGCUUGGGUGACAUAUUGGAUGGGGCUGAGGGUGAAAAAUAGGGAGAAGUGAAGAAUGAAUACUGUAUUGUGAGCUUGAGGCACUGGGAGGAUGCGAUAUCCUCUGUAGUAAUAGAGGUUGUUGCCUUGUACUUUGGUUGCCAAAAACAGGCUAAAAUCAGGGCCAGGGAUCUGGAUGAUGUUCAUUUCCCCCAAACUCUUGGGUUUGCCUGCCCAUCAGUGGCGGUCGGUACAGUUGGGAGCAUGGAUUUCAGGCUCCUUCUCCACAGGAGCCAUUCUCCUCAAUGAUGGAUGCCAGGGUCAAGCGGAAAAAGAAAUCUUUAGUAUAAGGGCAUUGAUAUUCCUGGAAUUUGGAAGUUCGGGGAGCAUGGGUGGUCUCUACCAGUCUCUGAGGGGAGGUGGUGGUGGAGGUGUUUUGACACAUCUGGCACAUGCCACUUCCUUUCUCUCCCUCAGGGUGCCUGGCUACUUUAGCUUGGGGGACUGGUAUCCAACUCAUUGGUAGUAGUUGAUUGAAAACUCUUGAGGGUGUAAGAAAUUGUGGGCCCCCCUUCAUAGGGGUUAUGCUCUUGGAUGUUGGUUUCUAGACCAGGCUGGAAGUAGGGCUAGUGACCUAGAAGUCAUUGCCACUCCUGUGACUCUAGAGUUAUUAGUGGAAGUUGGAAUCAAUAGUUGGUGGAUGGUGAUAGUGGUGUAAAGCCUCUAUGAAAGUUGUUCCACUUGAUGGUAGCUUCAAGGGCUGGGUAAUGUGGGUUUUAAAAUGUUGGGGGGGGGGAACUGCAUCCCCCAGGGUGCCCCAGGGGCCCCUCCCUACUACUUCCUUCUUGGAUGCACCAAUCCCGUGCUGGGGGAAGGACCACAUCCCCUACUUCCUGGUCUUGAAUUCCACUAAUCCCGUGCUAGGAAGGGGGCCACGCCCCCUACUUCCAGACGCAGGAUUGGUCUAUAUGAGGACCAAUCCCCUGCCUAGGAGGGAAUUUGAGGGAUGCAGUUCCCCUGGCCACAACACUUUAAAACUCACAUUUCGAAGCAGGACCAGCAAUAGAAGAGACACUGCUAUUCCCAGGUCUCUUGGGAUUCAUAUCCAUCAGUGGCAGAUAUUUGGUGUGGGUGAUGGCAUCGGUAGCACUCAGCUCUGCAAGUUGCCCCUUCGUUGAUAGCUUCAAAGGACCAAGCUCGAAAGCAUGCUGGUGGUAAGGGGACUCUACUCUUCAAGGGGCUCUUUAAAUAAUGUGCUAAUUGUUCAUAUGAUGACAAUAGCUUGUACUUAUUCAGUUAUUUAUGAUUUCCAAAUUGCUUUCCUCUCAAUACAUUCCUGAGAAUUAAGCACAGAUAUGCACACCCAUUUUACAGAUGAAGAAACAAUAGCUAAGUUUAGUUUAAAUGAUUUGACUAUGUUGCAUGGUAUUUAUGCUGUAAUUUGUAUUCUGAAUUGAAGGUCUAUAUUCCUUUUGCUAUACUGUAUUUAGUGCCAAGAAUAAAGGUUAAGCAUGAGACAACAAGAUAACACAAUGGAUAGAGCACUGAACCUGGAAUCACUUCUAAAUUCAAACCUUGACCCAAAUCCUUAGCUGUGUGACUCUAGGCAAGUCACUUGACCUCAGUCAAUCUCAUAUUCCUAACCUUUAAAAUGGGAAUAAUAACAGUGUCUGGCUCUCAUGGUUGUUGUGAGGGUAAAAUAAGAUACUACUUGUAAAGCACUAUAUGAAUGCAAAGACAGCUAGAUAGCACUGUGGAUAAUAAAACAUGAUGUACAUCUUCAUGAGUUCAAAUCUGACCUCAGACACUUACUAGCCAUGUGACCCUGUUGGACUCAGCUUCCUCAUUUGGAAAAUGAACUGGAGAAAGGAUUGACAAACCACUUUAGUGCCUUUAUGACUGAAAUGAUUGAACAAUAACAAAUAAUGAAGGCUUCCUAUUAUCUUUAUUCUUAAUAUUCCGCCUUACUUCUCAUUUAGAUUCUUUUCAUUUUCUUAGUUUGCUCUUUCUUCAAAAAUAGUGCCCAGGUCAACUUUGACCUUGACCACAUAAGAAUCAUCAAGACGUAAAGAAAUUGGAUUCUUCAUGAAGAUUUACUGCAGACAAAUGAUUGUCAUUCUCCAUUGCUGAGGCUCCCCACUUCUCUAGAAUCAGGAUUUGAGUAGAUCUGGCAAAAAUCUUAACAAGAAAUUCAGAAGUGAAUAGGAUUUAGAUUUGAAGAGACACAUCAAAGGUCAUUAGCCACAAAGAUCCUUUUAGGUCACCUAUUGAUUGACUUAGAAAAUCACACAUGAACUUUAUUGGAGUCCUAUUAUUUUUUAAAUUAAUUUUUAUUAAAUAUAUCUCUGCUCUUGUUAACCCAAGCCCCUCAUUUCAAGAUGAGCAAAUUAAACUCAGGUAAGAGAAAACAAUUUCCUUAAAGUCAGACAAGUAGCUGAGUGAGAGGAUUUGAACUCGUAGCUCUAGAUCUGUUCCCAAUACUUUUUGCCUCCGUCAUGGAGAUUAGAGAAAGGAGAGACUUGAGAAUGGAAACUUUUAUAAUAUAAAAUGUGUAAGAUUGGAGAGACUUUAGAGUAUAGAACAUUACCACUGGAGGGGAACUUAGAACACAAAAUGUUAGUAAAUAGAGCAGGAGAGCUAGAAUAGACUUUAGAACCUAGUAGGAUAUGUGGAAACAUAAUAGAAUACAACUUGAAGUAUUCUCAGAAAUCCUCUAAUACAAAUCUCAUUUUAUAGAGAAAAAAACUGAGGCUUAGAUAGAAAUAAUUUAUCUUCUCAAGGUCAAGCAACAAAUGUUUGGCCAGGCCUAGGAGCUCUCUCUUAGCACUAAUCCAUCCAUUUUCCAGGGCAGAAUGGCCUUCUUUCCCUGGAUCAAAGAAGAAUAGAGAUGUCAUAUGUAUAAUCACAACACAAAUAUAUACAACUGGAAGAAGAAAUUAAAAUUUGGAAGAAAUAGCUCAAGAGAGGGUUACCCAUGUUAGUCUCCUUGGUCAAUCACAUAGACUCUAGUUAGUCUUUCUAAAGCAAAACUGCUUCCCUCCGCCAGCUUUGGUCUCACUGACAUCUUCAGGUUUUAAAAGACGUUACGAUUGUUCCAGUUGUUGGAUCUCUCACAGUUCAGUGUGGCUGGUAGAGAAGGACCCUCAGAGAAUGCUGUGACCAUCUGAACCCAUCUCUUUUACAUUUGAGCUGAAAUAUAGACUCCAUUCCCUCCUCUUUUUCUGGCCCCAGAAUGUUUCCAAGGUAACCCAAAGUAUAAGGAGACCAAGUUUAUGAAGAUGCUCUAAGAAGCUUGACAAACACAUGUCGGAGGAUUUGCCCAAGGGCAAGGAUCUUUAGCAAACACCUUUCCAUACUUGAACGUAGGACAAUAUUCACACAUACACACAAUCCCCAACAAUCUGCCAUCUUGUGAUCGAGAGAGGAAAUAUAGAGAAAAAUGGCCAUGGAGAAAAGAAGACCUAGGUUCAACUCUCAACUUUGAAUUAUUUAACUGUGGGACCAAGAUCAAGUCAUCGAAUCUCACAGUGUUCCAGGAAAAUUGCUGUAUUAGUGAAAGGAAUUUCUAUGCCAAAAGUUUCCCAUUAUUUUGAAAUCUCAGGUUAGAACUAAAUAUUUCAAACAAGGAAAAACAAAUGACAGCUUCGGAUGGCAAAGAAAGGAGAUGCAAAGGAGAAGGAAAAACAUAUAAAGGAAAUAUAUAUGGGGUAUUACUGAUAACCUCCAUAGGAUGAUGAAGAAAGAGAGGGAAGUUGUACAACCAGAGAAGUAAAUAGAGACUUGGGCUCAAAUCACCAUUCAACCAUAAUAGAAAGAAGGAAGUAUCUGGAGUGAGAAAAGAAUCCUCAGAACCCACAUUUUGGAAGAGCAGACAUUCUCACAGAUCACAGUUCAUUCUCAAAUGCUAUGAGUAAACCUGAUGUUGGGGGAAUAGACAGAGAUUAAUACUCCUGAGCCCCAACCAGUGUGCUUCCUAUUUAAAUAAAUCAACUACUAUGAUAUUAUUAACUAUUAAACAUGAAAAAUUUAUUAACAAAAGAAAAAAUAAAAGUAAUCCUAACAUUCCACCAAUAAAUCUGGGUAUCUCUCCACAAAGCGUAUAGUAUGAGUGAGACUCAGCACAAACUUACAAAAACUAUAUAUACAUAUAAGUAGGGAAAGGUAAUUUAGUAGGGAAAUGUGCCUGGAAAUACUUAUAAGUACUAACUGCAGACUUGGUAUCUAGCAAACAGACUUCAACAUAUGUCAGCUACUAUAAUUGCUUCUCUUCUGGGCUUCUCACUCUAUUGCUAGAUGAAGCAGUUUCUUUAAUACUCUCAGGCCACUCAAGCAGGGUUAAGCUCUUUGGGUAAAGAAAAGAUUUUUAAGCCCAGAAUCUUCAGAGAUUCCCUUGUUGGCUUCCUUGACUAGGUAUAGUGAAAAACAAUUCCCUUAAGCCUGGGGAAAUGACAAUCUAUACAGUUCUAUCCUCUGAGCUUUGAGAGACUCCAUUUUCUCAAGCCAUAGAGGGCAAUAAAAGACAAUAGAGUCAAGUUUACUUGAGUUUUAGGUAGUAACAGAGAGAGGGGUCAGCUGUGUGUUGCAGUGGAUAGAGUACCACACCUACAGAAAGAAAGGCCCAUCUUCCUGAGUUCAACUUUGGUCUCAGUCUCUUACUAGCUGUGUGACCCUGGACAAGUCACUUUACCCUAUUUGCCUUAGUUUCCUCUUCUGUCAAAUUAUCUGGAGAAUAAAAUGGCAAACCACUCUAGUAUCUUUGUCAAGAAAACUUCUAAUGGGGUCAUGCAGAGUCAGACAAGACUAAAACUACUGAACAAAAACAAUGGAUAGAAAGAAAGGCAAUCUAUCCUUUCCUUCUUCUCUGUUCAACAAAAUAUACCUUUUUUUUCCCCUCAAUCAACUCCCAGUCAGUUGUCCCCCAUUUAUAUCAAUUUCCUGCAUCAAAUGCAGAGAAGCUGUGUCUCUACUCAGUUGCUUCCAACCAGGGUCAGCUUCUGUCUAUGGUUUAGAGCCAUUGAUUUCUAUACUAUCUUCUUUCUUCUGAUGUUUCUCUAGACAGCCUUUUUUGUCAGCUUCUACCUUCCAAUUCCCUGGCUUCUGGUUUUUCUGUCACCAUUACGUGAAAGUAGAGGCUCUUAGGUUAAAAAAUCCAUAUUUCGUUCUAAAUGACACCAAUUAAUAAAGUUUUUUAAUUCAAUUUUCCAUCAAUUAACUUAAAAAUCCUUUUAAAAGUCAUAUGUAAACUACUUUUUGGGAAACAAUGCACUUCAGCUAUUUUUCUUUGUAUUUAUCACACAAUUGGCAUUUUUCUGCCCCCUUUCAGAGAGAAUUUUUCUCUUUUCCUGCAGA